Strongylocentrotus purpuratus (purple sea urchin) is the source of this 881-nucleotide long non-coding RNA. RefSeq lists it as uncharacterized. NCBI's taxonomy places the organism in Eukaryota, Metazoa, Echinodermata, Echinoidea, Camarodonta, Strongylocentrotidae. The transcript has 3 exons. The record is from RefSeq and is a predicted model, not a curated record.
UCAUGCUUGAACAACUCGACUGGUUUAUUGGUUGUGUGUUGAUCAGAGCCAAAUUGGAUCCGUGCUACACCCUCUACGGUCAUCGUCAAGCAGUUUACACUUUGUGUCCUGGGGAAACAUUUUACGAAUAUUUACAAGAGAAUGAUCAUUGGCGGUUUACUAACGACUCAAUAGGCAACCCUAAUCAUAUAACACCGUGUGAUCGUUGAACACCGGGCAUCUUCAAACAAAGUCAAAGUUACCUCGGACAAGUUCGUCACCCUUCUGUGAAUUUUCAACAAGGAUUGGGAAAAUGUCGCGUCCAAGAAUAUUCAAAAUAAUUAUGAAGAUGUAGAAAACAGAUUAUUUUGGGAAUGUUGAAUCGCUGUCAAUGUACGUAUAUGCAAUUUAUUGAUAGAAACAUCUAAAUUUGAACUUAUAUUCCUUUGUUAUUAUAUUUAUAUAUUUCAAUUCGGUUUGAAAACUUAUGUGUAAAGUGGUAAAUAAUUGUUAUUAAUAAAAAUGCAUGAAUACAGUUAAAUUACGUAACUUAAGGAAACGAAAAAAGCCAUAACCAAACGACAAUCAAUAUUAUAAUAUAUUUGUAUGACAACUAUUUUGUCUGCACUAAAAUGUAUCCAUGUUUUGUAUCCUAUUUCUGUUCUAUGUAAACUAUGUCUGUGCCUUUACUUUAAAUGUCAGUGAAACAAAAUAUAUCCAUGUUGAACGUACAUUGGACAAAUACAAAAAGAUAUUUGGUUUCCAAAAUGUGAAUUUAAUCGGGUGUGAGUUCUGCAUCCUGCAUGCACCUUUGAAAUGAUAAUGAUGUACCUUGUCUGAGGUUCAUCCCUCCUAUCAUGGAUAAUGAGAUAUAUCGUAAGGAAAUGGUGUUUGGACAUGUC